RNAcentral lists this ribosomal RNA (496 nucleotides) under uncultured bacterium. RNAcentral's name for it is "partial 16S ribosomal RNA". It matches the Rfam family "Bacterial small subunit ribosomal RNA", at positions 29 to 507 of the family's 1533-position model. The record is from RNAcentral.
AUGAACGCUGGCGGCGUGCCUAAUACCUGCAAGUCGAGCGAACAGACGAGGAGCUUGCUCCUCUGACGUUAGCGGCGGACGGGUGAGUAACACGUGGAUAACCUACCUAUAAGACUGGGAUAACUUCGGGAAACCGGAGCUAAUACCGGAUAAUAUAUUGAACCGCAUGGUUCAAUAGUGAAAGACGGUUUUGCCGUCACUUAUAGAUGGAUCCGCGCCGCAUUAGCUAGUUGGUAAGGUAACGGCUUACCAAGGCAACGAUGCGUAGCCGACCUGAGAGGGUGAUCGGCCACACUGGAACUGAGACACGGUCCAGACUCCUACGGGAGGCAGCAGUAGGGAAUCUUCCGCAAUGGGCGAAAGCCUGACGGAGCAACGCCGCGUGAGUGAUGAAGGUCUUCGGAUCGUAAAACUCUGUUAUUAGGGAAGAACAAAUGUGUAAGUAACUAUGCACGUCUUGACGGUACCUAAUCAGAAAGCCACGGCUAACUACGUG